AUGUCCUCUACUUGUUGCAAUGAUCAUGAUUGGGGUGAUUCUUCUUACGAUCUUGAAAAUUUACUUACUCCCCAUGAUGAAUAUGAGAUUGAUAAUAAUGUUUGCAAUAAUAUUGAAAGUGGGUUUGGAAGAGUGUCAACUUUAGAUCCCACAUAUUUGGAAAAUGUUCAAUCUUAUGAAAUUUUUGAUAAAAGUGGGUUUGGAGAGGUCAUGACUUUAGUUAAUGUUGAUCCUGCUAUUUUGGAAGAGUGUCAACUUCGCAUGCAUGUGGAUUGUGUUGAUAGCUAUUUUGUUAAAUUUUCUUAUGAUCCCACAUGUAAUUAUUAUGAGAGAGGAAAAUAUGGUUGUAGAAAUUUUCAUGUUGCUAAAUUACCUCUCGUUAUGUUGAGAUUACUAUUGUUUCUUUCGUCUUCCUUGCAUAUGCUAGUUUUUGCUUGCUAUGAUAACUUGUUUGCCUUUAAGAUGCCUAUGCAUAGGAAGUAUGUUAGACUUAGAUGUGUUUUUCAUAUGCUUUAUGAUGCUCUCUUUGUGCUUCAAUUCUUGUCUUUUAUGUGA
This 555-nucleotide ribosomal RNA is filed under the name Triticum aestivum (bread wheat). RNAcentral's name for it is "partial small subunit ribosomal RNA". Lineage: Eukaryota; Viridiplantae; Streptophyta; Magnoliopsida; Poales; Poaceae. The record is from RNAcentral.